GACGAACGCUGGCGGCGUGCUUAACACAUGCAAGUCGAACGGAAAGGCCCUGCUUUUGUGGGGUGCUCGAGUGGCGAACGGGUGAGUAACACGUGAGUAACCUGCCCUUGACUUUGGGAUAACUUCAGGAAACUGGGGCUAAUACCGGAUAGGAGCUCCUGCUGCAUGGUGGGGGUUGGAAAGUUUCGGCGGUUGGGGAUGGACUCGCGGCUUAUCAGCUUGUUGGUGGGGUAGUGGCUUACCAAGGCUUUGACGGGUAGCCGGCCUGAGAGGGUGAACGGCCACAUUGGGACUGAGGUACGGCCCAGACUGCUACGGUAGGCAGCAGUGGGGAAUAUUGCACAAUGGGCGGAAGCCUGAUGCAGCAACGCCGCGUGCGGGAUGACGGCCUUCGGGUUGUAAACCGCUUUCGCCUGUGACGAAGCGUGAGUGACGGUAAUGGGUAAAGAAGCACCGGCUAACUACGUG
RNAcentral lists this ribosomal RNA (468 nucleotides) under uncultured bacterium. RNAcentral describes it as "partial 16S ribosomal RNA". It matches the Rfam family "Bacterial small subunit ribosomal RNA", at positions 28 to 507 of the family's 1533-position model. The record is from RNAcentral.